GACGCGUUCUCCGGCAAGAGUGGUUUCAGCUGUUUUUUUGGACGUGCUAGUAGUUAACUCAUGGGAUAGAAAUACUACCGGGAGUGGUGAGAAACAAGACCUAGAAAGCUCAGAGAAAAGCAGAUGGAGAGUGGAGCUCUUGUCUGUCUUCUCGGCUCCUAACGGCAGCCCCAGAUUCGCAAUGAAGAGCCCCACGCCACAUGAAAUGUGAGCAAGUCCACCCACCUCAUCUACCCUGGCGGCCAGUUCCUCGUUGGACCAGAUCCCUUCUAUCAUAAGCUCCUCCUCAGCACAUGGUUAUUACUGGAAUGCUGGUGGUUUGGGCAACUCUUUUUCUGGUGAGAUGGUGCAGUGGGAAGGGACAUUGACUAUUUGAAGAGCAAACAACCAAGAUAAAAUCUUAAAAGCAGGCAGAGAGAAAAGAUACAGAAGACUCACACUGACUUCUCAAGUGAAACAAUGGAAGCCAAAAGACAAUAAAGUAAUAUCUUCAAAGCCCUGAAAGAGAAUAACUACGAGUGGAAGUCUAUGCAAGCACAGAUAUCCUUCCAAAAUAAAGAGGAAAUAAAUACACUUUUAGAAAAACAACGCUUGAGAAAUCUCAUCACCAGCUGACCUGCACAAAAGGAAAUCCUAAAGGGUGUUCUUCAGGCAGAAGGAAAAUAAACUCAAAUGUAAUCUGGGAGAUGCAGGAAGGAAUGAAGGUACAUCCCACUUCCAGCGGGCUGUCCCUCGGUGCUGGCUUGGCUUCUUGGGAAAAGAGUGAAGAAUCAGAGCCUACACGCUGCUGCUGAGCUCCACAGCCUCCAUCUUGCCUCCUCCUGUUUAGACGAUGCGGGUCCUAGUUCUGGGAAGCCCUUCCACCGGAGCCUCUCUGAACUUCAGGCUCCUCAUCUAUAAAAUGGACCUCCCAAGGUGGUGGUUUAGUGCUGUCAGGGACAUGUUGGCAGGAGGACCGUGUGAGCUGUUGUGUCCACAGUAGCCUGGAAAGGGUGAGGGCAAAGGGCUGGGGGACCGGUCAGAAGGCACCUACCACAAUCCAGGUAGGAGGUGACAGUGCUGCAGCCAGGCUGCACGGCGAAGGAUGGGAGGGGCCCCCGGAGAAACCUGAAUCAGGUACCACAGUAACGGGGAACGUGGAGGAGGGCAUGAUUCACUCCAAGGCCGCUUUCCCAGGGGAUGUGACUCAGGCAGGAUUUUGAAAAAUGAGCAGUUCAGCAGGCACUCAAGAGGGUGAGAACAUUCCAACACCGGUGUGCCGGGGCCCCAUUGAGAGGGAGCCAGGCCUAUUUGGGGACCUAUGAAGCAGCAUCACAUCAGAGCAGAAGGGUCAGGGGAGGCCAGAUGGGGAAGGAGCUCGCCGCUCUGCCAAGGGUGUUGUCCUCUGGGCGCCAGGGAGUUCAGGAAGAAUUUUAAGCCUGGGGGCCGGUGGUGCUUAAGACCUAAAACUUGCUAUUAAGAAAAGUCCCGUGGUCACCAUGAACGGCCUGGGGGGAGGUGGCAGGGAAAACCCAGAGGGGAAGCAGAAAAUGAGGGCUGACCCUGGGGCAGUGGGAGAGAGGGAAGGAGGCAUGAGAACCGUUUAGGGAGAAGAGAGGACCAGGUCCGUGUGGGUUUGGGGAAAGAGGAGCAGGCUGUUUUGAGGAAGAGAAUGAGUCAUGUGGGGGCCGGCUGAAUUGGAGGAUCCGCUGGGGGAUCAGACAGCCAAGCCCCAGAGCAGCCGAUGUUGGAGUCUGGAGCUCAGCGGAGGGGACUUGGGUCCAGAAGCCUCAAGGGACAGGUGGCAUUUAAGCUGUGGAAGGCCACCAGCUAAAAGGCAUCUCCAGAUUUUUACCUUUAGUAAGAUCUGAAUAGAGGUAUAUUUCCCUCCUCUUUGCCUCUUUCCCAAGGCCUUUGAGAGAUACAGUGAGAAUAACAUUCUUGAGGGUAAAGAGGAGGGAUCCAGGAGGGGAUCCUCCUAGGGCAGCACGGAGGAAUCCCUGGGCUGGUCCCACUUCACCCCACGGUGUCUGCGGGCAGAGGGGCCUGGAUAGGCAGGGCUCUUGGUAUCCAUUGUCCGUGGGUCUCUGCAUGCAGAUAUGUAAAGUUAUGUGUUUUCAUCUCCCCGUGAUUCCUGUUUUCCUGCAGCCCUUCCCGCUGAGGCGUAUGGCCCAAUAAAGUAGAGGGGUGAAUUCAAAGCAAGACCUCAAGCAGGGGGUGAAGCGGACAUGAUGUAGAGAAGCUGCUGCUGAUGGCAAUGGGACCAGAAAAGGGGGGCCUAAGGAAGAGAGAACAUGAGAAGCAAAAAGGGCAGCCCCUUAACCUUCAACCUCAGAGGCUCGUGUGGGAGAAACCCAGUCAGGUCUGAGGGGAGAUCUCACAGCAAGGGGGUGGGUGGGACUUGACUCAGAUUGCAGUGGGGAGAAAUUUUAAUGACACCCCCUCCCUAGCAAACCAGCGAUGCAAGAUGGUGCCAGCACAAUAUGGUGCCAGUCAGGAGGUGGUUUGGAAUGGCUGAGGAAGGGAGUCUGGGAAGUGGCUUCAUGCAACGCUGCUCGUUCUAGUGAGAAUGCAGCCAGGUAGUCCUAGGUCCCAGGGGCUGCAGAGCCAAGAUCUGCCUCACCAGCUAUGUGCAGGGACCACGCACUUUGGCUUCACCUCUUCCUGCCCCUACCCCACCAGCAAGCCCCAGGGACCAGAACCAUCUCUGUCCUGCGUGUGUGUGUGUGUGUGUGUGUGUGUAAGAAUGCAGGGGACUCCACUCAGACCUUCAACCCUCUUGUCCCACCACCAUGAGGCCCAUGAACAUCUCUCUGCACCAGGAAAUUAUCUUGGCUGGGAGAAGGCGGAAGGGUGAGAAAACCUUGGAAUACUGAGCAAUUUUACUCAAAAGAGACUGAGUUAAUCAUACAGAAAUGGAGCUAUGUCUAAGGGGCAAUUUAAUGCUUUCUUUUUGUUUGUUUUCUUUUUGCCCGUCAGUAGUAGGAAUUAUCAGAUCACGAUGAGAAAAGUAUAAGAAAAAGUAAGAACAAUACUGAUUUGACCCAUCUGGGUAGGUGUGUGUGUGUGAUCUUUAGCCCUCCCACAAUUAUGUCUGUACACGUUUGCUGGGGCAACUGUAUAUUUUCAAUUCCAAUCGUCAGACCUUUCCUUGAAGCUCACGUGUGUUUUGAUCUGGCCAGGAAUUGAGAAUCAUAAAAUCAUUAAAUCUGUAUUAAUUACCUAUUGCUGCAUAGUAAGUUAAUCCAAAAUUUAGCUGAAAUAAAUAUGUAUUAUCU
Molecule: long non-coding RNA, 3257 nt
Filed under: Sus scrofa (pig)
Lineage: Eukaryota; Metazoa; Chordata; Mammalia; Artiodactyla; Suidae
Description: lncRNA (ENSSSCG00045036956.1)
Source: RNAcentral